AGGGAUCAAGUCCCUUGGAUGUGGCGUAAGCUGAACAAAGAG
RNAcentral lists this non-coding RNA (42 nucleotides) under unclassified sequences. The record is from RNAcentral.